RNAcentral lists this transfer RNA (63 nucleotides) under Hoplopleura pacifica. Its description in RNAcentral is "tRNA-Leu". The record is from RNAcentral. Lineage: Eukaryota; Metazoa; Arthropoda; Insecta; Psocodea; Hoplopleuridae.
UGCUAGAUGGGGUUACCCAUUAGUAAGUUCUAAGCUUAGCGCACUUAUUUCUGCCAAUCUAGC